UGUGCUGGUUGGUGCAUUCUGUGCUAGAUCACCUCGAGAAUCUAGCACAAGGGGAGGGGCAGUGAAGGGACCGAGAAACUGCAGUAGCUUGGCUGGCGAUGCUCCCGUUUGAAGACUACAACUGCCGCCAUAGUAGCUCAUUGUUGUUGCCCCUUUCUUUCAUUACAGAUGUCAUGUUAUACGGCUGAGUGAAAUUGUAAAGAAUAAUGUUUCGGCUAUGGAGUUGAAUGAGAACAUGUUGGCACAGCAUCGGUGAUGAAAACGAAAUGUGUGUCAACUGGUUGUAAUAAAAUGAUGCAGGAGAGGCUCAGGUCACCGGAAGUCUAUUGAGGUGAUGUUAUGUAAAGUCAAGUGAAGUGAAGAGUCUGGUUGUGAGAAGAAAAAGAACUGAUUCUGGAAAUAAACCAGCUGGUUGUAGAUGCGUUGAUCAUAGGCCUAAACGAUACGUGGUCCCUUCUCUGUGUUUGUCAGGGAAGAAUGCUCAGCAAGCCAGAGCUACAUCACUUAAUUCCAUUAGAAACACAAGUGUGUAACCUUGGGCAGGCCUCUUUCUCUCUGUCUCUUGUUUUAAGACUAGAGGAAAGUCAAGUGCCUUAAUGGUAAAACACUUUGUUUACCUGAUGACUUGAAUAACAUUGGAGUGAAAAUGGCUGGAUCACUUGCUAGAAAGUAUACAAAAUAUCAUUUGAUUCUGCGGGACAAAAGUUAUAAAUGUGUUAUCUCAGGUAUAACAUGAAGAAAUUAAGACUUAUUCCUCGUUUAAUGGCUGAUAAUACAAGUAAUAACAAAUGUCGGAAGUAAACAGAAUAUUGUAAAUCAGAUAAAGAAACCUUAUCCAAGUUGAAAAUUUCCACUCUGGGAACAAGGUUGUUGUGGGGUUGAAUGCAAGAAGCAACCUUGGUCCUAGUGGCUUGAUGGAGAUUUACAGAGAUCCUGGAGAUGAGGUUGAUAAUAGUGUAGUACCUCCUCAACUACUUGAGACCACGUGCGACCCGAUCAUGAGGUCAAACCAAACCAUUAAUUAUGGAUACAACUUGUUGUUUUGUUUACCUUCAUUUACUUGUUUAGUAAACAGGAGCAGGCGAUUUCCUGCAGCUGUGUAGUCUGCUAACCUCAGUAUGAUACUUCGACGGCAUGCCCGCCUACCUUACCCGGCUCCCGGAGGGUACAUUGAUUUAAUUUUGUUACUCGUAAUAAAGAUCACAGAGAUAAGGUAACAAAGAUGGAUGAGCUAGUCGGUCUUUAAUUACCAUUUUUUGCGAUGAGUUUUGGAGAAAAAUUCCAAUGCUGGCAGGAAGUGAUGUGAACGCGAGUUGGUUUUUUCACUGAUAAAUGUAUGUCUGUAAAUCAUGCGCAUAUUU
Molecule: long non-coding RNA, 1361 nt
Organism: Lineus longissimus
Lineage: Eukaryota; Metazoa; Nemertea; Pilidiophora; Heteronemertea; Lineidae
Exons: 3
Source: RefSeq, a predicted model, not a curated record